Molecule: non-coding RNA, 27 nt
Filed under: Rattus norvegicus (Norway rat)
Lineage: Eukaryota; Metazoa; Chordata; Mammalia; Rodentia; Muridae
Source: RNAcentral
UGGCUACAUUCCCUAUCAAAGAAGGUU